CUGCCCUUCGCGGGGGACAACAGUCCGAAAGGAUUGCUAAUACCGCAUACGUCAGCGAGGUCUUCGGACCACGUUGGGAAAGACGGCCUCUUCAUGAAAGCUGUCACCGGAGGAUGAGUCCGCGGCCCAUCAGCUAGUUGGCGGUGUAAGAGACCACCAAGGCUAAGACGGGUAGCUGGUCUGAGAGGAUGGCCAGCCACAUUGGGACUGAGAUACGGCCCAG
RNAcentral lists this ribosomal RNA (223 nucleotides) under uncultured bacterium. Its description in RNAcentral is "partial 16S ribosomal RNA". It matches the Rfam family "Bacterial small subunit ribosomal RNA", at positions 126 to 334 of the family's 1533-position model. The record is from RNAcentral.